AUUGAACGCUGGCGGCAGGCCUAACACAUGCAAGUCGAGCGGAUGAAGGGAGCUUGCUCCUGGAUUCAGCGGGGGACGGGUGAGUAAUGCCUAGGAAUCUGCCUGGUAGUGGGGGAUAACGUCCGGAAACGGGCGCUAAUACCGCAUACGUCCUGAGGGAGAAAGUGGGGGAUCUUCGGACCUCACGCUAUCAGAUGAGCCUAGGUCGGAUUAGCUAGUUGGUGGGGUAAAGGCCUACCAAGGCGACGAUCCGUAACUGGUCUGAGAGGAUGAUCAGUCACACUGGAACUGAGACACGGUCCAGACUCCUACGGGAGGCAGCAGUGGGGAAUAUUGGACAAUGGGCGAAAGCCUGAUCCAGCCAUGCCGCGUGUGUGAAGAAGGUCUUCGGAUUGUAAAGCACUUUAAGUUGGGAGGAAGGGCAGUAAGUUAAUACCUUGCUGUUUUGACGUUACCAACAGAAUAAGCACCGGCUAACUUCGUG
This 484-nucleotide ribosomal RNA is filed under the name uncultured bacterium. RNAcentral describes it as "partial 16S ribosomal RNA". It matches the Rfam family "Bacterial small subunit ribosomal RNA", at positions 30 to 507 of the family's 1533-position model. The record is from RNAcentral.